Molecule: long non-coding RNA, 842 nt
Filed under: Nicotiana benthamiana
Lineage: Eukaryota; Viridiplantae; Streptophyta; Magnoliopsida; Solanales; Solanaceae
Description: long non-coding RNA (NBEN_LNC034744)
Source: RNAcentral
ACGUUUUCAUCAAUCUUUAUGUUAAUCAAACAAGAAAGUAACAAAAUUUAACAAAACUAAUGAAACCUAAAUACUACUGUAGAAAAAAAAAAUCAAUCUUCAUGAAGGCAAAUAAGAUCAAGUUAUAUAUUCAAGCAUAAUAUCAUAAACAACCAGCAAUUUUAGACGUUCUAUGGACCAUAAACUCGAAUUGGCGUUGCAACCUUGAACGGACUCAGCUUGGCACGGUGUUGGGUGGUGAUUUUGGGCUGAUUUAACUGUGUUACGACUAGAAAGCAGAGCUGCUUUUUGUUGGUUUUAGAGUUCAUUUUUUGGAUUUUUUAAAACUGAUUUCCGCUGCAUAUUUUAGUUUGUUUUUGCAGUAGCUUCUAGCUACAUUUUUGGAGGAAGACAAGGUGGUUUUGGAGAUGAAGUUUGGAGUGUUUAAUAGAGCUUUUCGGGGCUAAUUUUUGCUGGGUUUAAUAGUGUCUAAUGAUGGAAAAUUGGGGUCGUCAACAGUGACGGAUUUAGGAAUUCAAGUUUGUGGGUGCUGAACUAUUUUUGUACAUAAAAUUAAUAGGUGCUUUUGUAAAUUUUUAUACGUUUUCUUAAAUUUUCUAUAUAACUAUACAUACCCUGCGUCAGGUUAAUGGAUGCUCGAACACCCAAUUUUAAUGAAUAGAUCCGCCCUGGUUGUCAAUGGUGGUGAGGGAAGAGAAAGCUUCAGGAAUUUUCAUGCUUGUCCAUGGCUUUACAUGGUGGAGGAUGUGAAGGAACAAGGUAAAGAAGUAGAAGACUUGGAUUCUAUCUUGCACUCUCUCUGUUUUUUAUUUUUUUUCCUUUUAACCAUUUUUUGCUUUUUU